GUGGGGAAUAUUGGACAAUGGGCGAAAGCCUGAUCCAGCCAUGCCGCGUGAGUGAUGAAGGCCUUAGGGUUGUAAAGCUCUUUCAGUGGGGAAGAUAAUGACGGUACCCACAGAAGAAGCCCCGGCUAACUUCGUGCCAGCAGCCGCGGUAAUACGAAGGGGGCUAGCGUUGUUCGGAUUUACUGGGCGUAAAGCGCACGUAGGCGGAUCGUUAAGUCGGGGGUGAAAUCCCGGGGCUCAACCCCGGAACUGCCUUCGAUACUGGCGAUCUUGAGUCCGGAAGAGGUGAGUGGAACUCCUAGUGUAGAGGUGGAAUUCGUAGAUAUUAGGAAGAACACCAGUGGCGAAGGCGGCUCACUGGUCCGGUACUGACGCUGAGGUGCGAAAGCGUGGGGAGCAAACAGGAUUAGAAACCCGGGUAGUCC
This 425-nucleotide ribosomal RNA is filed under the name uncultured bacterium. RNAcentral describes it as "partial 16S ribosomal RNA". It matches the Rfam family "Bacterial small subunit ribosomal RNA", at positions 354 to 796 of the family's 1533-position model. The record is from RNAcentral.